RNAcentral lists this ribosomal RNA (253 nucleotides) under uncultured bacterium. RNAcentral's name for it is "partial 16S ribosomal RNA". It matches the Rfam family "Bacterial small subunit ribosomal RNA", at positions 524 to 776 of the family's 1533-position model. The record is from RNAcentral.
UACGUAGGGGGCAAGCGUUGUCCGGAAUCAUUGGGCGUAAAGAGCGUGUAGGCGGCCCGGUAAGUCCGCUGUGAAAGUCCAGGGCUCAACCCUGGAAUGCCGGUGGAAACUGUCGGGCUAGAGUCCGGAAGAGGCGAGUGGAAUUCCUGGUGUAGCGGUGAAAUGAGCAGAUAUCAGGAGGAACACCAAUGGCGAAGGCAGCUCGCUGGGACGGUACUGACGCUGAGACGCGAAAGCGUGGGGAGCAAACAGG